Paramuricea clavata is the source of this 3169-nucleotide non-coding RNA. The record is from the annotation of a GenBank genome assembly. Lineage: Eukaryota; Metazoa; Cnidaria; Anthozoa; Malacalcyonacea; Plexauridae.
CUGAGACACAGAAUAGGAAGUUAUACCAGAAGCGUAACUCUAGUCGUUUCCCUUAUUGUUUGACGUCCACGAAAAUUUUAACUCGCUCACGUCAGGCCACGCCAUCCUGGCUAGUACAGCCGGAAGUUUUCAUCAGGAUUUGGUAGGUACAAAGUGCCGGUUGUACUAGCCAGGAUGGCGUGAUUGAUGACGAAUCGCUUGUAAAAACGCGGACAAAUAUUUGCUUGAGUUACGCUUCUGGUAUAACUUCCUAUUCUGUGUCUGAGAUUUCGGGACAGUGCUUCCAUUUUCAAAAUCAAAAUUUCUCAUUUUUGUCAUCAAAAUUUCUCUAAAUUCCUUAGAUUGUAUACGUUAUUUCCUUGAAAAUUCCUUGAAAUUUCAUUAGGCGGUUUCCAGUGCUUUUGUAGCAAUACAAAGGAUUUAAUCAAUUUUAAAGGCACAAAAUAGCACAACUAACAAAGAUGAUUGCUAGCUAAAAAACCACAGGCUAUUAUACUGUUUAAAAUUAAAUAUUUGUCAUGAGUUUACAACAUACACCUUUCCAUUGAUAUAAAAAAUUAAUUAUUCACAGCGUUUGGCGCCAAAAGUUACUAAAUCCCAUCGCUCAAAAACUUUCGGAAGUUUUCGGAAACACGAGGGAAAAGUUAAAAACAGAUUUUUGAUUAAACAUAAUUGAUAAUUCACUCAAAAAUUCAAGAAAUAGUGAAACUUUCUUCUGCACUAAUGCCAUUGGAUGAAUAUUUAAGUUGUUCGGAAAAAAUCCUUAGAUUUCCUUAGAUUUUUUCACUUCCUUAGAUUUUCCUUUUCGACACUAGAAUUUCCUUAGAAAAGGAAAUUUCCUUGAAAAUGGAAGCACUGUUUCGGGAUUUCCCAUUCCUCCGCAAACUACGUCACAAGCCUGCUGACGUCAACCUUUUUAUAAAGGUCUAUUCCAAGUAAGAAAAUUUAAAAAAUCAAUUUUCAAUAUUCUCUACAGGCCUACUAGGUCACUGUGAUGAAUCACAAUAUUUGAGGAAAACUAUAUAACAAUUUUACCAAUGACCACUCCCAUAUAAUUUUACUGAUCAGAAUUCCUUUUUCUGAUUUUAUCAACAAUCUUAGCAGAAAAUGGGGUUGCACAACCCCCUACCCCACACACAAGGUACACCCUGUACUUCAGGCACCCUUAAUUAAAAUUCAGUAUUUUUUGUGCAUUUCUCUUUGUCAUUUCACAUGCAUUUUUCUUUGCAAAAUUAUCCCACAUUUAUAACACAGUACACAGCUGAAGUAAUUUAAUUUAACUUUUUCAAAGAAUAAUAAUUAAUUACAAUAAAUAAUUUUAAAAUCUAAACUAUUCUAAUAACUUUGUUGCCCCACUGGCUAUGACUAAUUUGCUCUGCUGUUCAGUAUCUUGUACCCUGGAUUCCAGAGCCUUUGACAGUAAAUAAUAAAUUGAAAUGUCGCGAAGGCUCUGGUUCAACGGGCUCUUGAAGGCUCUGUUUUGUGAUUGGCGCGGUUUAAUCAAAGAAUCGCCCCGUUGAACCAGAGCCUUCACGACAUUUCAAUUUAUUAUUUACUGUCGAAGGCUCUGGAAUCCAGGGUAAGUAUCUUGAAACUUCUAGCCAGUUCUAGGGGUACUCUUACUAGGGGGUACUACUGGUCCUGGCCAGUAUAUUACUACUCUUGCUAUUUGAACCUCCAAAGACCUUGUGUUUCAUUCUUGUCCACAUUAAAGUUUCAACCUAAAUAAGAAAAGUGAGUUAGUUAGUUAGUUAGUCUAUCACUGGGUCAUUCCAGAAAACAUCCAUACCACCCCCACAGAGGAAAUAGGAAGUUAACCCCCCUACCCCUAGCCUGCGAACAGGCUCUCAAGCUGAAUUGAGAGCCUGCAUCGAUGACUAAUGAAUUUGAAUAUCUGCCCCGUAACGUUCGUUUUUCCAAAUAUGGAAUUUCUAUCCUUAUAUGGUGUUGUUUACAACUUUCGUGCAAACUAAAUUUAGACCGUGCAAACUAAAUUUAGACCGUACAGUUUAUACUGUUUUUCGAAAUAUAAGAUAUUGAAGCAAAAGUUUAAAUGUUUUAAAUACUGUUUUCUCAAAACAGAACACUUUGAGAUAAGAUGGCCAAGACCAAUUUGAUCAGUUAAUGUGUUUUUUAUGCAUAGUGCUAGCAGUUGACAUAUAUAGAGCUCAGCGGAAUAAUAUAAAUUGUAGCAUCUGACCAAUAAGAAUUUUGCGUCACGAUUUGAGACGCAGAUAUUCAAAUUCAUUAGUCAUCAAUGCAGACUCUCAAUUCAGCUUGAGAGCCUAUCCUACCCCCUUCGGAUGUCCUCAUACAUUUACUAUUGUCAGAAACAAUUUUUUCUCCCCUCCCCCUCUGGACGGCAGAAAUUUUUUCUCCCCUCCCCUUCUGGAUGGCAGAGGCACUGCAUGCCUCGGUAAAUAAAUCACAUAUCCCCUUGUUGCUUCAAAAUAACCUAUACUUAUUUACACUUGGAUAAAAAUAUUAGCAUAUGAGGUCAGUCUUCAGCUUAAAAUAAUACCAAUACUGAUCAAUAUAUACUCACAGGGGCGUCGGAGCAGGUCUAAAAGUGGGGGGGGGGGGCUUAGCGCCUGCCAAAGGCAGGCAACAUAAACAUUUUAAAACUAGAGUCUCUGAAAUAUUAAAACUAGAGUCACUGAAAUGCCAUUUCCUGUACUUUAGAAGGAUAUUUAAGGAGAUUUACAGAGUUCUAAAGGUAACAAAAUGUCAUAAAAUAUCUCAAAUUGUUUUGUCUACACGCAUAACUGAAAUAAAAUCAAUUAACUUUGAGGUUUAUUAUUGACCAUUGUUAAAAAUUAAGGGGUCGAAACUCCAAAGACAAAAUGGCCACCCAACUAAAAAAGUGCCCCCCCCCCAGCCUCCGACACCACUUUAUACUCAAUCAGGAUUUGAUUACAUCCUUUCUGUUAGGCAAAGCCAGGGCACCAACAACCUUUUAUACCUGCUUAUCUAAUAGCAUAUACUAUAUGCUCAGAAAUAUAUUAGCAAUUUAGCAGCUUAAAAGUACAUGCUAGUCUGUAAUUCAAUUAUAUAUUUUUAUAGUCGCAUACUUGUACUAUAUUGACAUUUUUAUUGUUUAUUUUUAUUGAACAUAUGCUGUCUAGACAGUCUAGCAUAUAAAUAUUAUGUUUGUAUGGCAACACCAUUU